GACGAACGCUGGCGGCGUGCCUAAUACAUGCAAGUUGAGCGAUGAAGAUUGGUGCUUGCACCAAUUUGAAGAGCAGCGAACGGGUGAGUAACGCGUGGGGAAUCUGCCUUUGAGCGGGGGACAACAUUUGGAAACGAAUGCUAAUACCGCAUAACAACUUUAAACAUAAGUUUUAAGUUUGAAAGAUGCAAUUGCAUCACUCAAAGAUGAUCCCGCGUUGUAUUAGCUAGUUGGUGAGGUAAAGGCUCACCAAGGCGAUGAUACAUAGCCGACCUGAGAGGGUGAUAGGCCACAUUGGGACUGAGACACGGCCCAAACUCCUACGGGAGGCAGCAGUAGGGAAUAUUCGGCAAUGGACGAAAGUCUGACCGAGCAACGCCGCGUGAGGGAAGAAGGUUAUCGGAUCGUAAAACUCUGUUGGUAGAGAAGAACGUUUGUGAGAGUGGAAAGCUCAUCAAGUGACGGUAACUACCCAGAAAGGGACGGCUAACUACGUG
Molecule: ribosomal RNA, 497 nt
Filed under: uncultured bacterium
Lineage: Bacteria
Description: partial 16S ribosomal RNA
Rfam family: Bacterial small subunit ribosomal RNA
Source: RNAcentral